GACGAACGCUGGCGGCGUGCCUAAUACAUGCAAGUAGGACGCAGUUGCGAACGGGUGAGUAACGCGUAGGUAACUACCCCUAAGAGGGGGAUAACUAUUGGAAACGAUAGCUAAUACCCCAUACUAGUAGAUGGAUCUGCCGUGUAUUAGGUAGUAGGUGGGGUAAUGGCCUACCUAGGCAACGAUACAUAGCCGAACUGGGAGGGUUGUAGGCCAAAAUGGGGCUGGAAAAAGGGCCAGACUCAUGCGGGGGGGAGCAGUAGGGGAGCUUGGGCAAUGGGGGGAACCCUGAACGGGGAAAGCCGGGUGAAGGGAGAAGGUUUUUGGGACGUAAAGCUCUGUUGUUAAGGAAGCGGUACUUAACCAGAAAGGGACGGCUAACUACGUGCCAGCAGCCGCGGUAAUAC
Molecule: ribosomal RNA, 407 nt
Filed under: uncultured bacterium
Lineage: Bacteria
Description: partial 16S ribosomal RNA
Rfam family: Bacterial small subunit ribosomal RNA
Source: RNAcentral